ACUAACUAUCCUAGUUUUCUUCAAGUACAUAGAGGAAUUCUAGCUGGAGAAUCUGGUAUCAUUACCCUUAUCGGUAAAAGACUGAAUGGCAGGAAAUAGGCCUAUCAGUUUAAGGAGGUUAAUUACUAUUAAACAAAUGAGCAAGACAGGCUAGAGCAUAAGUUUCAUUAAAAAUUUAAAAGAAAUAGUUUUAUCUACUAUUUCUAUGUAUUAUGAAUGUGACCUUAAACAGUUCCUUAAACUCUGUGAGCAUUAGUAUCUUUAUUAUGGCACAGUAUCCAAUUAAUUUUAGAAGCAGCUUAGGGCCAAUUAUUGACAAACAUAUGCAGUAGAUGGAGAAUAUCUUUCUAUUUAGAUCUCAGUUGCUUGUCUAAGUUUCUGCAUUUCUUCACUAAUAAUUAA
Molecule: long non-coding RNA, 402 nt
Filed under: Pan troglodytes (chimpanzee)
Lineage: Eukaryota; Metazoa; Chordata; Mammalia; Primates; Hominidae
Description: long non-coding RNA NONPTRT017196
Source: RNAcentral